AUUCACCAGGUUGAUUCUGCCUGACGUGGAUGCUAGUCUCAUAGAUUUAGCCAUGCAUGUGUAAGCGAAGCGAUUAGUGGAGCGGCGGAAGGCUCAGUAACGGGCGAGUAUUUAAUCUCCAGAACCGGACAACCUCAGGAAACAGAGGGGAAAACGGAGUAAAAGCAUGUUUUAUGCAUGUGAUGAUAACGAUAGUGCAGGAGAGUAAGAAGCCAUCCCAUCAGUUAGUAAGUAGGGUAAGGGCCUAUUUAGACGAAGACGGGUACGGGGGAUUAGGGUUUGAUUCCGGAGAGGGAGCCUGAGAGACGGCUACCAGGUCCAAGGACAGCAGCAGGCGCGAAAAUUACCGAAGCCUCCAAGAGGGCGGUAGUGAAGAGACGUGAAUUUAAGUGUGUGUAAAAAGCACGCGAGUAACUGGAGGUCAAGGCUGGUGCCAGCAUCCGCGGUAAUACCAGCUCCAGGAGUGUCUAUGAUGAUUGCUGCGAUUAAAAGGUCCGUAGUCGAAGAACAAUACUUGUUUGUAAUGUGGUCUAUCAAGGACCAAAUAGAACGAGAAGAGUUCUGAAUAGGAGCGAAGGAGGGCUAGAUUAUUGAGCAGCGAGAGGUGAAAUUUGAUGACCUGCUUAGGAGUAACAGAGGCGAAAGCGCUAGUCAAGAGCGAAUCCGAUGAUCAAGGACGUAGGCUGGAGGAUCGAAGACGAUUAGAGACCGUAGUAGUUCCAGCAGUAAACGAUGCCAACACUGUUGUGGAGAUUGCACGACAGAAGAGAAAUCUAGUAGGGCUUUGGGGAGAGUACGCGCGCAAGCGAUAAAUUUAAAGGAAAUUGACGGAAGCUCACCACA
RNAcentral lists this ribosomal RNA (843 nucleotides) under Microgemma tincae. RNAcentral describes it as "SSU rRNA". It matches the Rfam family "Microsporidia small subunit ribosomal RNA", at positions 1 to 805 of the family's 1311-position model. Lineage: Eukaryota; Fungi; Microsporidia; Unikaryonidae. The record is from RNAcentral.